This 496-nucleotide ribosomal RNA is filed under the name uncultured bacterium. RNAcentral describes it as "partial 16S ribosomal RNA". It matches the Rfam family "Bacterial small subunit ribosomal RNA", at positions 28 to 506 of the family's 1533-position model. The record is from RNAcentral.
GAUGAACGCUGGCGGCGUGCCUAAUACAUGCAAGUCGAGCGAACAGACGAGGAGCUUGCUCCUCUGACGUUAGCGGCGGACGGGUGAGUAACACGUGGAUAACCUACCUAUAAGACUGGGAUAACUUCGGGAAACCGGAGCUAAUACCGGAUAAUAUAUUGAACCGCAUGGUUCAAUAGUGAAAGACGGUUUUGCUGUCACUUAUAGAUGGAUCCGCGCCGCAUUAGCUAGUUGGUAAGGUAACGGCUUACCAAGGCGACGAUGCGUAGCCGACCUGAGAGGGUGAUCGGCCACACUGGAACUGGGACACGGUCCAGACUCCUACGGGAGGCAGCAGUAGGGAAUCUUCCGCAAUGGGCGAAAGCCUGACGGAGCAACGCCGCGUGAGUGAUGAAGGUCUUCGGAUCGUAAAACUCUGUUAUUAGGGAAGAACAAAUGUGUAAGUAACUAUGCACGUCUUGACGGUACCUAAUCAGAAAGCCACGGCUAACUACGU